AUGGCGAGGCCGGAGCUUGCGAGAUCCGUCUCCGGUCACCAUGGUGCAGAGACGACAAUGAUGGCAAGAGGGCACAAACCUUGCCCUGAUCGAGGAGGAGAAGGAGGGGCGCACCUAGCCGCCAGCCCUGCUCUGCUCGAGGAGGAGGGGCGGGAGGGGUCUGCUCCUAGGGCGACCAAGAGGUCCUGCCCGAGCUCAAGCAUGGCCAUGAUGACCCACCACGGCAGCGACGGUGCUGCUGCACUUGUGCUAGUCAGUGGGGAGUAA
RNAcentral lists this ribosomal RNA (267 nucleotides) under Triticum aestivum (bread wheat). RNAcentral's name for it is "partial small subunit ribosomal RNA". Lineage: Eukaryota; Viridiplantae; Streptophyta; Magnoliopsida; Poales; Poaceae. The record is from RNAcentral.